Molecule: ribosomal RNA, 521 nt
Filed under: uncultured Bacteroidota bacterium
Lineage: Bacteria; Pseudomonadati; Bacteroidota
Description: bacterial SSU rRNA
Rfam family: Bacterial small subunit ribosomal RNA
Source: RNAcentral
UGGGGAAUCUUGGACAAUGGGCGCAAGCCUGAUCCAGCCAUGCCGCGUGAGUGAUGAAGGCCUUAGGGUCGUAAAGCUCUUUCGCCAGAGAUGAUAAUGACAGUAUCUGGUAAAGAAACCCCGGCUAACUCCGUGCCAGCAGCCGCGGUAAUACGGAGGGUCCAAGCGUUAUCCGGAUUCAUUGGGUUUAAAGGGUCCGCAGGCGGAAAGAUAAGUCAGUGGUGAAAGCCUACAGCUCAACUGUAGAACUGCCAUUGAUACUGUUUUUCUUGAAUAUAGAUGAAGUGGGCGGAAUGUGUCAUGUAGCGGUGAAAUGCAUAGAUAUGACACAGAACACCGAUUGCGAAGGCAGCUCACUAAACUAUUAUUGACGCUCAUGGACGAAAGCGUGGGGAGCGAACAGGAUUAGAUACCCUGGUAGUCCACGCCGUAAACGAUGAUUACUCGGUGCUAGCGAUAUACAGUUAGUGCCUAAGCGAAAGUGAUAAGUAAUCCACCUGGGGAGUACGGUCGCAAGAUUG